RNAcentral lists this ribosomal RNA (2089 nucleotides) under Triticum aestivum (bread wheat). RNAcentral describes it as "partial small subunit ribosomal RNA". The record is from RNAcentral. Lineage: Eukaryota; Viridiplantae; Streptophyta; Magnoliopsida; Poales; Poaceae.
GAGGGAGGGAGGGAGGAGGAGGGGGAGGCUUCAGAUUUCAAAAAGAGACCUGGCUCGUUCGGUACUGCCAAUUCCUUUGGUGUGGAUUUUGAGUUGUUAAGAACCCUUGAUUGAUGCAAAUCUUAAUUUUGUUUUGUGUGGAGCAUUAGUGUUGGGGAUAUCUUGUUAAACAUCCAGUUCCCCUGACAUGCAUGAACUGUUCAGUAUAGGAUGCCCAUCUUAUGCAGCUAUGUUUGCUCUUUUUACAUUGUUUUCUAUCAUGUGUUAUGUUUGCAACAUUUCCCUAUACUCUGAUUGAUAACAUGUAUUUUGAUGUUUUUGCCUAAUUUGUGUGUGCCUUGGUUUUGUAGGAAGUUGUCAAAUCUUGGUCUGAAGGGAAUGUUAUCUCCUGAGAUUGGACAGCUUAAUAAUAUGCAUUUUCUUAUACUGCACAGGAACUUGUUCUAUGGUAUUAUCCCUAGAGAGAUGGUAGAUUUACGAGAGCUGAAGGUGUUGGAUCUGGGGUACAAUAACUUAAAUGGAUCAAUUCCAUCAGAGCUAAUAAACAUUUUAUCCCUGGAAUUUAUCUUUCUUAAAAGAAACAAACUUUAUGGUGAUUUACCUCUUGAACUAAAUGAGCUCAUCAGUCUGUGUGAGUCUCAGGUUCGGCACGGCAGGACUUUCUCAAAUAGGAUGCCCGCUGCAAGGUUUGUCUAGGUUUUCUUCUACAUGCAUAUGUGAGAGUUAAACUCGUGAUUAUGCAAGGCUUGAGUUAAAUUUUCAAAUCAAACAGGGAUUUGAGCAAGCUUGAUUUUGGUUAAAAAAUCCCACCCUGUUCCUGCAGUCACAUGUAUGUUAAUGAUAUCUGAAAUAUUUCAGAAUUAUCUGUUUUGACUCAAGAAAUAUCAGACUUCUUUUGGGAACAUUUCCUCCACAAAAUGGUAAAUUAUAUCCGAGUUGGCAUCCCUGAAACCCAGCCCAAAUCCCCACAUAUAACCUCACUCUGGACAAACCCUAGACCCAAAUCUCUAGACAAUGCCAUGUUGAAAGAUAGGCUCGCGAAGAUUCGGCUCAAGAAUUCCUGAGGGUACUUCUGUCUUUAUCAUAUUUGUUCUCACACCUUGGGCAUUGUGUUUUCCUGCCGCAAUGCACGGGUCGACCCGCAGUCCUCAUAUUAAGUGAACCACAAGGGGUACAUGCGAGAGAAAAGAAAAAUAAACCCAACCACCAGCAUGACUCUUCCUCUUGAUCCCAUCUGGACUUUAGUAUUCUCGGGAUAUAUCUGAUUAUGAUGAUGUUCCGUACUGCUUUGGAGCCGACAACUUUUUGGACUGCUCGAUGUUUAUAACCAAUGAGACUACAUUUUUGGUUCUUAUCUCGAGGCUGGAGCUAUCACUAUGACUGAAAUUUUAUUUUCACCAAAGUAAAUUUAUAUGGUCAUCAAAAACCAACGCCGGGCCAACACUUGUCCGCAAUUUGCAAUUUUUAUUACAGUAUGCGUAAGCCAAUGGUCAGCCAUUGUUGUUUUAGUUAGGAAAUGUAGAAAAUGUGUUCAUGAUUUAUGUAGAUUGGUCAGUCCCUUCAAACAGUAUUCGAUCUUAAGCGGACAAUCUAACUAUAUGUUUCCUUAUAGAAAAUUAACUAUAUGUUCCAUGAAUUGACUGAUUAGUUUGGCCAGAUCAUAUUAAACUAGGUCUUGAUUUGAAGGUCCAGUUAGGGCAGCUGGUGCGGGUUUGUUUGUUGUAAUACUAACUAUGCUAUUUAGACAGAGACAUGUCAUCUUUCUCAUUCCUUGACAUUUUCCUUUGCUGCCAAGUUUUUUCAUUUUAGGUUGUGGAAAAACGGAUGUAGCAUUCCUUCUACAAGUUGUCAUGAGCUGGGACAUAGAAGAAGAGAACCGACGAGAAGUUGCACAGCGGUUCGCUCUGGUGUAGCUGCCAAUGGCGUUGUGCAAAGUGUAGAUUGCAGGCUAGAUGCGUACGAGUCCGUCCCUAUGUCCACGAUGUCGAAGCAUAGAAAAUCAAGUCAAUUAGAUAAUAUAUCUGGCUAUGAAAGUUGUCUUUUGUGUAUGCAGUUUUGCCAUUAUUUUGUAAAAGCUUUUAGUUUUUAA